GCCUCGGUAGCGUAGUGGUCAAGACGCUCGCCUGGUAAUCAGGAGGGCGUGGGUUCGAUCCCAGCCGAGGCA
Molecule: transfer RNA, 72 nt
Filed under: Diaphorina citri (Asian citrus psyllid)
Lineage: Eukaryota; Metazoa; Arthropoda; Insecta; Hemiptera; Psyllidae
Rfam family: tRNA
About the family: Transfer RNA (tRNA) molecules are approximately 80 nucleotides in length. Their secondary structure includes four short double-helical elements and three loops (D, anti-codon, and T loops).
Source: Rfam by way of RNAcentral